UGUUUCGGCUAGGGGGUCAUCCCGACUUACCAACCCGAUGCAAACUACGAAUACCGAAGAAUGUUAUCACGGGAGACACACGGCGGGUGCUAACGUCCGUCGUGAAGAGGGAAACAACCCAGACCGCCAGCUAAGGUCCCAAAGUCAUGGUUAAGUGGGAAACGAUGUGGGAAGGCACAGACAGCCAGGAUGUUGGCUUAGAAGCAGCCAUCAUUUAAAGAAAGCGUAAUAGCUCACUGGUCGAGUCGGCCUGCGCGGAAGAUGUAACGGGGCUAAACCAUGCACCGAAGCUGCGGCAGCGACACUAUGUGUUGUUGGGUAGGGGAGCGUUCUGUAAGCCUGCGAAGGUGUGCUGUGAGGCAUGCUGGAGGUAUCAGAAGUGCGAAUGCUGACAUAAGUAACGAUAAAGCGGGUGAAAAGCCCGCUCGCCGGAAGACCAAGGGUUCCUGUCCAACGUUAAUCGGGGCAGGGUGAGUCGACCCCUAAGGCGAGGCCGAAAGGCGUAGUCGAUGGGAAACAGGUUAAUAUUCCUGUACUUGGUGUUACUGCGAAGGGGGGACGGAGAAGGCUAUGUUAGCCGGGCGACGGUUGUCCCGGUUUAAGCAUGUAGGCUGAUUGUCCAGGCAAAUCCGGAUAAUCAAGGCUGAGGUGUGAUGACGAGGCACUACGGUGCUGAAGUAACAAAUGCCCUGCUUCCAGGAAAAGCCUCUAAGCAUCAGGUAACAUCAAAUCGUACCCCAAACCGACACAGGUGGUCAGGUAGAGAAUACCAAGGCGCUUGAGAGAACUCGGGUGAAGGAACUAGGCAAAAUGGUGCCGUAACUUCGGGAGAAGG
Molecule: ribosomal RNA, 835 nt
Filed under: Klebsiella pneumoniae
Lineage: Bacteria; Pseudomonadati; Pseudomonadota; Gammaproteobacteria; Enterobacterales; Enterobacteriaceae
Description: partial 23S ribosomal RNA
Rfam family: Bacterial large subunit ribosomal RNA
Source: RNAcentral